GUAGGUGGCAAGCGUUGUCCGGAAUUAUUGGGCGUAAAGCGCGCGCAGGCGGUUCUUUAAGUCUGAUGUGAAAGCCCACGGCUCAACCGUGGAGGGUCAUUGGAAACUGGAGAACUUGAGUACAGAAGAGGAAAGCGGAAUUCCACGUGUAGCGGUGAGAUGCGUAGAGAUGUGGAGGAACACCAGUGGCGACGGCGGCUUUCUGGUCUGUAACUGACGCUGAGGCGCGAAAGCGUGGGGGGAGCAAACAGGAUUAGAUACCCUGGUAGUCCACGCCGUAAACGAUGAGUGCUAAGUGUUAGGGGGUUUCCGCCCCGUUAGUGCUGCAGCUAACGCAUUAAGCACUCCGCCUGGGAGUACGGCCGCAAGGCUG
This 373-nucleotide ribosomal RNA is filed under the name uncultured organism. RNAcentral's name for it is "partial 16S ribosomal RNA". It matches the Rfam family "Bacterial small subunit ribosomal RNA", at positions 527 to 896 of the family's 1533-position model. The record is from RNAcentral.